This 326-nucleotide ribosomal RNA is filed under the name uncultured eukaryote. Its description in RNAcentral is "partial 18S ribosomal RNA". It matches the Rfam family "Eukaryotic small subunit ribosomal RNA", at positions 1470 to 1796 of the family's 1831-position model. The record is from RNAcentral.
CCCUUAGAUGUUCUGGGCUGCACGCGUGCUACACUGAUUACUUCAACAAGUGUUUUAACUGGAGAGUUUGCGUAAUCCUGAAAUGUUAUCGUGAUGGGAGUAGAGUAUUGUAUUUGUUAAUCUUUAACGAGGAAUUCCUAGUAAGUGUAGGUUUAUAAGUUGUUCUGAUUACGUCCCUGCCCUUUGUACACACCGCCCGUCGCUACUACCGAUUGAAUGGUUUAGUGAGAUCCUUGGAUCGGCCCUGUCGCGGCUGGCAACGGCCGCGUCGGCGCGUCGAGAAGACGAUCAAACUUGAUCAUUUAGAGGAAGUAAAAGUCGUAACA